This 353-nucleotide ribosomal RNA is filed under the name Marionina nevisensis. RNAcentral describes it as "partial 12S ribosomal RNA". The record is from RNAcentral. Lineage: Eukaryota; Metazoa; Annelida; Clitellata; Enchytraeida; Enchytraeidae.
UCAAGAUCUAAACCUAUUACUUAAAUAUCUAAAGCAACUGCUAAAAACUUAAAGAACAUGGCGGUGUCUUAUAAGCUCAGGGGAACCUGUCCCUUAAUUUGAUAAUCCACACACCACCCAACCAAUCUUUGCUAAACCUGUAUACUGCUGUCGCCAGCAGGCUUAAAUAUAAGCUUGCAACUCAUCAAUACGUCAAGUCAAAGUGCAGUAAAUAUUUUGGAGAGAGAUGGGUUACAACCUAAAAAAAGACACUCAACUAUAUAAAAUAUAAAAGGUGGACUUGAUAGUAAUAUAAUAAAUUAUAAACAUUUAUCUAAGACAUGUACACAUCGCCCGUCACUCCCAUAAAAAUG